UUCAAUUCCCUUAAAAUUUAGGAAAGUUAAUAAAAAUAACCUUAAAACUUUAUGUUAUUUUGAAAAUGACCUCUCUAAUUUUUUUCAUAUAAAAACUAGCCAAACAAAAAUUGUUUUGGACCAAUCACCCUCCUCGUUUGCACACGACUGAGACUCUCUCCCUUAGAAAACCAAAGCAAGUUUUUUCUCUUGAAUCAUCAACAGCAACAGUGACGAAAGACGGUGAUCGCCGACAACAAAGGUGAGGAGAAACUCGAAUCCACCCGAAUCAACUCGAAUCCAUCCAAAUCCAACGAAUUGAAAAGAGUCCAAAUGCCAAGUAAGCUAACUUCCUCAUUUUUUAAUGAUUUGAAUGAAUUUGAAUGGCAUUGUAGAUGAUUAUAGGUUGUUAGAUUAAUAUAAUCAAAAGAAAUUUUGUUAAAAUGAUAAGUUACAACUAUUGCACAUUACAUGUUUACUGAAAUGCUUCUUAAAUAGUCUGUGCUUAGUUUUUGUACGCGAAAUGUUAAAAAACGCGGAGGGCUUUUUGUCGAAUUGUGUUGCGUGUUUGAGGUGUGAAAUUGUGCGACAUGGUGCCUGACGUACCACAGCGCGCGCUCUGUACGCUAUUGCACCACAUUGCAAUCUUUUUUUUUUAUGUUCUUGUUAAUGUUAUGAAGUUAUUACAUCUGAUUGUGUAAUAUAACAAUUUCUUAUGUGUAACUUGCAUUAGAUACAUGGCCAAAUCCAAAAUAACAAAGCAUAAUCCACCUGAUCGAGGAAUAAACUAAGCAUGAUGAAGGUAACUUAUGAAAAUCACUUCCUGAGCGUACCAUAAGUAUGUGUAAAUUAGAUACAAGUGGGAUCUUUGUUCAAAACUCAAGAAAUGUGGCAACAAAUAUAGAGAUGCAUCCAUAUCUGACCACAUUAGAGGCUAUAUGUUACACAACCUUUACUAUUUCAUUAUUAAAUAUGUCAAUAGGUAAUAAACAUGCACUAUAGAUUGUGUUACUAGACUUCAAAAUUGUCUUUAUCAUGAUACCAUAUUCAUUAGAAUUUAUUUGCAAAACCUCAUACACUCUUGUCAUAAACUAAUCAAAUUUAUAAUCUUUCUAAACCAAAAAAAUUGUAUUCUUGGCUAGGAAUGGCAAUAAAAUCCAGAUCCCUGCAUCCGCAAAGAUCCGGAAGAUCCGUAUAUGAAAAAAUGAGGAUUCGGAUUUAAAAAAUGAAGAUCCAUACGGAUCUGGAUGCACUUGCAUCCGCAAAAUCGGAUAUCUAGAUCCGGUUUAAUUUUGUUUUAAAUUAAAAGACACACACACGCACACACACACACGCGCCCGCGCGCGCGCACACACACACACAGACUUAAAUAAAAAAAAAAAAUCUAACCUAAGUGGCUAAAUUCCUAACCUUAACAAUAUUGCAUCCAGUUUCACGCACACUCAAGCCUCACGAUACCUCACCAGCAGCCGUAACCCCUCAAAUCCCUAAUGCCCAAAUUUGAAGGGCUUGUAAAGCCCUCGACCUAUCGCCGUCUUCCUCGUAGCCUUGCUUGAGCCUUGUGUCGCAGCCUCACCUGAGCACGUUGUUGUUGCUGCACACUGCAAGCCUUGCCUUCAUCACCUCCCCUGAGCACGUUGCUGUCAUAGCACACUACAAGCAUUGCCGUUAUCGAAGCCUCACCGUCAUCGAAGCUCGCCACACUACUAUUGCUGCACACGUCACCGUCGUCCAAGCGUCGCCUGAUUAGAUCAUUCAUGCCUGUAAUUUGCUCUCUUGUUUCUAUUAAUUUUCUUUUAUUUUUUAUUAAGUUAUGGCUUUUUUCUUUUUCUAGUUAAUAAUUUGGUAUUGUGGUUGAUUGAUUGUAUUUAAUGAGUUUAAUCUAAUGUAAACCUCUUUAAACUUCAAAAUGUUGUUGGCUCAAUUUAGUUUCUUGUUAAUUCAA
Molecule: long non-coding RNA, 1924 nt
Filed under: Citrus sinensis (sweet orange)
Lineage: Eukaryota; Viridiplantae; Streptophyta; Magnoliopsida; Sapindales; Rutaceae
Description: long non-coding RNA (CSIN_LNC000174)
Source: RNAcentral